RNAcentral lists this ribosomal RNA (497 nucleotides) under uncultured bacterium. Its description in RNAcentral is "partial 16S ribosomal RNA". It matches the Rfam family "Bacterial small subunit ribosomal RNA", at positions 28 to 507 of the family's 1533-position model. The record is from RNAcentral.
GAUGAACGCUGGCGGCGUGCCUAAUACAUGCAAGUCGAGCGAACGGACGAGAAGCUUGCUUCUCUGAUGUUAGCGGCGGACGGGUGAGUAACACGUGGAUAACCUACCUAUAAGACUGGGAUAACUUCGGGAAACCGGAGCUAAUACCGGAUAAUAUUUUGAACCGCAUGGUUCAAAAGUGAAUGACGGUCUUGCUGUCACUUAUAGAUGGAUCCGCGCUGCAUUAGCUAGUUGGUAAGGUAACGGCUUACCAAGGCAACGAUGCAUAGCCGACCUGAGAGGGUGAUCGGCCACACUGGAACUGAGACACGGUCCAGACUCCUACGGGAGGCAGCAGUAGGGAAUCUUCCGCAAUGGGCGAAGGCCUGACGGAGCAACGCCGCGUGAGUGAUGAAGGUCUUCGGAUCGUAAAACUCUGUUAUUAGGGAAGAACAUAUGUGUAAGUAACUGUGCACAUCUUGACGGUACCUAAUCAGAAAGCCACGGCUAACUACGUG